Arabidopsis thaliana (thale cress) is the source of this 240-nucleotide long non-coding RNA. RefSeq annotates it as other RNA. The transcript has a single exon. The record is from RefSeq. Lineage: Eukaryota; Viridiplantae; Streptophyta; Magnoliopsida; Brassicales; Brassicaceae.
CAUCAUAGCACAAUAUCCUUUGUUCAAGAUUCGACUUUGUCUUUAGAAAGUGUUUCACCUGCUUCUCUAUGUCUUCGUCAUCAUAAGAAAUUUCACCAAACAGUAUUACUUCCAAUAGAUACACAAAUUUUAAAACAAAGAGACCUUUCAUCUUGUAUAGCAACAAUUAAUUAAUAUGACCUUUGUUACACAACUUCCACACAUAUUUUGACAAAAUUGGUUAUCCCCAUUUUAUCCAAU